Molecule: ribosomal RNA, 468 nt
Filed under: uncultured bacterium
Lineage: Bacteria
Description: partial 16S ribosomal RNA
Rfam family: Bacterial small subunit ribosomal RNA
Source: RNAcentral
GACGAACGCUGGCGGCGUGCUUAACACAUGCAAGUCGAACGGAAAGGCCCUGCUUUUGUGGGGUGCUCGAGUGGCGAACGGGUGAGUAACACGUGAGUAACCUGCCCUUGACUUUGGGAUAACUUCAGGAAACUGGGGCUAAUACCGGAUAGGAGCUCCUGCUGCAUGGUGGGGGUUGGAAAGUUUCGGCGGUUGGGGAUGGACUCGCGGCUUAUCAGCUUGUUGGUUGGGUAGUGGCUUACCAAGGCUUUGACGGGUAGCCGGCCUGAGAGGGUGACCGGCGACAUUGGGACUGAGAGACGGACCAGAGUCCUACGGGAGGCAACAGUGGGGAAUAUUGCACAAUGGGCGGAAGCCUGAUGCAGCAACGCCGCGUGCGGGAUGACGGCCUGCGGGUUGUAAACCGCUUUCGCCUGUGACGAAGCGUGAGUGACGGUAAUGGGUGAAGAAGCACCGGCUAACUACGUG